GCGGAGGAAAGAAACCAACAGGGAUUGCCCUAGUAACGGCGAGUGAAGCGGCAACAGCUCAAAUUUGAAAUCUGGCGUCUUUGGCGUCCGAGUUGUAAUUUGCAGAGGGCGCUUUGGCAUUGGCAGCGGUCCAAGUUCCUUGGAACAGGACGUCACAGAGGGUGAGAAUCCCGUACGUGGUCGCUAGCCUUUACCGUGUAAAGCCCCUUCGACGAGUCGAGUUGUUUGGGAAUGCAGCUCUAAAUGGGAGGUAAAUUUCUUCUAAAGCUAAAUACUGGCCAGAGACCGAUAGCGCACAAGUAGAGUGAUCGAAAGAUGAAAAGCACUUUGGAAAGAGAGUUAAAAAGCACGUGAAAUUGUUGAAAGGGAAGCGCUUGCAGCCAGACUUGCCUGUAGUUGCUCAUCCGGGUUUUUACCCGGUGCACUCUUCUAUAGGCAGGCCAGCAUCAGUUUGGGCGGUUGGAUAAAGGUCUCUGUCAUGUACCUCUCUUCGGGGAGAACUUAUAGGGGAGACGACAUGCAACCAGCCUGGACUGAGGUCCGCGCAUCUGCUAGGAUGCUGGCGUAAUGGCUGUAAGCGGCCCGUCUUGAAACACGGACCAAGGAGUCUAACAUCUAUGCGAGUGUUUGGGUGUCAAGCCCGAACGCGUAAUGAAAGUGAACGGAGGUGGGAACCUUUCGGGGUGCACCAUCGACCGAUCCUGAUGUCUUCGGAUGGAUUUGAGUAAGAGCAUAGCUGUUGGGACCCGAAAGAUGGUGAACUAUGCUUGAAUAGGGUGAAGCCAGAGGAAACUCUGGUGGAGGCUCGCAGCGGUUCUGACGUGCAAAUCGAUCGUCAAAUUUGGGCAUAGGGGCGAAAGACUAAUCGAACUAUCUAGUAGCUG
Molecule: small RNA, 884 nt
Filed under: Phoma herbarum
Lineage: Eukaryota; Fungi; Ascomycota; Dothideomycetes; Pleosporales; Didymellaceae
Description: eukaryotic LSU rRNA
Rfam family: Eukaryotic large subunit ribosomal RNA
Source: RNAcentral